RNAcentral lists this non-coding RNA (29 nucleotides) under Rattus norvegicus (Norway rat). The record is from RNAcentral. Lineage: Eukaryota; Metazoa; Chordata; Mammalia; Rodentia; Muridae.
UCGCUGCGUCUUUCAUGUUACCCUUUGUC